CUGCAGUCGAGCGCGGGAAGCAGGCAGAUCCUCUUCGGAGGUGACGCUUGUGGAACGAGCGGCGGACGGGUGAGUAACACGUGGGCAACCUGCCUGUAAGAUUGGGAUAACCCCGGGAAACCGGGGCUAAUACCGGAUAAUACUUUUCGUUGCAUAACGAGAAGUUGAAAGGCGGCUUUUAGCUGUCACUUACAGAUGGGCCCGCGGCGCAUUAGCUAGUUGGUAAGGUAACGGCUUACCAAGGCGACGAUGCGUAGCCGACCUGAGAGGGUGAUCGGCCACACUGGGACUGAGACACGGCCCAGACUCCUACGGGAGGCAGCAGUAGGGAAUCUUCCGCAAUGGACGAAAGUCUGACGGAGCAACGCCGCGUGAGUGAUGAAGGUUUUCGGAUCGUAAAACUCUGUUGUCAGGGAAGAACAAGUGCCGUUCAAAUAGGGCGGCACCUUGACGGUACCUGACCAGAAAGCCCCGGCUAACUACGUGCCAGCAGCCGCGGUAAUACGUAGGGGGCAAGCGUUGUCCGGAAUUAUUGGGCGUAAAGCGCGCGCAGGCGGUCCUUUAAGUCUGAUGUGAAAGCCCACGGCUUAACCGUGGAGGGCCAUUGGAAACUGGAGGACUUGAGUACAGAAGAGGAGAGUGGAAUUCCACGUGUAGCGGUGAAAUGCGUAGAGAUGUGGAGGAACACCAGUGGCGAAGGCGACUCUCUGGUCUGUAACUGACGCUGAGGUGCGAAAGCGUGGGGAGCGAACAGGAUUAGAUACCCUGGUAGUCCACGCCGUAAACGAUGAGUGCUAGGUGUUAAGGGGGUUUCCGCCCCUUAGUGCUGAAGUUAACGCAUUAAGCACUCCGCCUGGGGAGUACGGCCGCAAGGCUGAAACUCAAAAGAAUUGACGGGGGCC
This 902-nucleotide ribosomal RNA is filed under the name Virgibacillus sp. RNAcentral describes it as "bacterial SSU rRNA". It matches the Rfam family "Bacterial small subunit ribosomal RNA", at positions 36 to 921 of the family's 1533-position model. The record is from RNAcentral. Lineage: Bacteria; Bacillati; Bacillota; Bacilli; Caryophanales; Bacillaceae.